This 253-nucleotide ribosomal RNA is filed under the name uncultured bacterium. RNAcentral's name for it is "partial 16S ribosomal RNA". It matches the Rfam family "Bacterial small subunit ribosomal RNA", at positions 524 to 776 of the family's 1533-position model. The record is from RNAcentral.
UACAGAGGGUGCAAGCGUUAAUCGGAAUUACUGGGCGUAAAGCGUGCGUAGACGGUUAUGUAAGUCAGAUGUGAAAGCCCCGGGCUCAACCUGGGAAUUGCACCUGAAACUACCAGUCUUGAGUGGUGGAGAGGGAAGUGGAAUUCCUGGUGUAGAGGUGAAAUUCGUAGAUAUCAGGAGGAACACCAGUGGCGAAGGCGGCUUCCUGGACACCAACUGACGCUGAGACGCGAAAGCGUGGGGAGCAAACAGG